UUUAUGGAGAGUUUGAUCCUGGCUCAGGAUGAACGCUGGCGGCGUGCCUAAUACAUGCAAGUCGAGCGAACGGACGAGAAGCUUGCUUCUCUGAUGUUAGCGGCGGACGGGUGAGUAACACGUGGAUAACCUACCUAUAAGACUGGGAUAACUUCGGGAAACCGGAGCUAAUACCGGAUAAUAUUUUGAACCGCAUGGUUCAAAAGUGAAAGACGGUCUUGCUGUCACUUAUAGAUGGAUCCGCGCUGCAUUAGCUAGUUGGUAAGGUAACGGCUUACCAAGGCAACGAUGCAUAGCCGACCUGAGAGGGUGAUCGGCCACACUGGAACUGAGACACGGUCCAGACUCCUACGGGAGGCAGCAGUAGGGAAUCUUCCGCAAUGGGCGAAAGCCUGACGGAGCAACGCCGCGUGAGUGAUGAAGGUCUUCGGAUCGUAAA
RNAcentral lists this ribosomal RNA (439 nucleotides) under Staphylococcus aureus. Its description in RNAcentral is "bacterial SSU rRNA". It matches the Rfam family "Bacterial small subunit ribosomal RNA", at positions 1 to 429 of the family's 1533-position model. Lineage: Bacteria; Bacillati; Bacillota; Bacilli; Caryophanales; Staphylococcaceae. The record is from RNAcentral.